This 68-nucleotide transfer RNA is filed under the name Marmota monax (woodchuck). Its description in RNAcentral is "tRNA.Ala". The record is from RNAcentral. Lineage: Eukaryota; Metazoa; Chordata; Mammalia; Rodentia; Sciuridae.
GGAUUGUGGCUCAGUGGCAGAGUGCUUGCCUAGCAUGUGUGAGGCACUGGGUUUGAUUCUCAGCACCA